GUGAGGAAUAUUGCGCAAUGGAGGCAACUCUGACGCAGCCAUGCCGCGUGCAGGAAGAAGGCGCUACGCGUUGUAAACUACUUUUAACCGGGAAGAAACCCCAGGACGUGUCCUGGGUUGACGGUACCGGAGGAAUAAGCACCGGCUAACUUCGUGCCAGCAGCCGCGGUAAUACGAAGGGUGCAAGCGUUAUCCGGAUUCAUUGGGUUUAAAGGGUGCGUAGGCGGAGCGUUAAGUCAGUGGUGAAAUCCUGCAGCUUAACUGUAGACUUGCCAUUGAUACUGGCGCUCUUGAGUGCGCUUGAAGUGGGCGGAAUGUGCCGUGUAGCGGUGAAAUGCUUAGAUAUGGCACAGAACACCAAUUGCGAAGGCAGCUCACUAAGGCGAUACUGACGCUGAGGCACGAAAGCGUGGGGAUCGAACAGGAUUAGAAACCCUUGUAGUCC
This 445-nucleotide ribosomal RNA is filed under the name uncultured bacterium. RNAcentral describes it as "bacterial SSU rRNA". It matches the Rfam family "Bacterial small subunit ribosomal RNA", at positions 354 to 796 of the family's 1533-position model. The record is from RNAcentral.